UAUGGUGCAAGCGUUAUCCGGAUUUACUGGGUGUAAAGGGAGCGCAGGCGGUGCGGCAAGUCUGAUGUGAAAACCUGGGGCUCAACCCCGGGACUGCAUUGGAAACUACCGAACUAGAGUGUCGGAGAGGUAAGUGGAAUUCCUAGUGUAGCGGUGAAAUGCGUAGAUAUUAGGAGGAACACCAGUGGCGAAGGCGGCUUACUGGACGAUAACUGACGCUGAGGCUCGAAAGCGUGGGGAGCAAA
RNAcentral lists this ribosomal RNA (245 nucleotides) under uncultured bacterium. Its description in RNAcentral is "partial 16S ribosomal RNA". It matches the Rfam family "Bacterial small subunit ribosomal RNA", at positions 528 to 772 of the family's 1533-position model. The record is from RNAcentral.